CGGCUCAUAUUAUUCCAGUUUUGUCGACCUGCUCUUUUAUCAUCUUCUAUGAUCUAUUCGAGCUAAAGGUAAUAAAUAACAGCUCUGUCUUGAAACAUCUUCAUGUGAACUCAGAGCCUCUGUGUACCCUGGGGCAACGUGUGCUCACCUCACUGGCUGUUGGAAAGCAUCUCAGUUAAUCGCAUUUUGUCUGAUUAAGUCUUACCAGUUCCCAGACUAAAGUCUAACAGUCUAGUAGUCUAUUAGUCUAAAGUCAGUUCCCAGACUAAAGGAUCUUCAGGGGUCUUUUCACACCGUUUUUAAAGUAUCCUUUCUUUCAGUUUCACCUCCCAUCUCAGGUAUAUAUUGAACAAGAUAUCCAGAUAUCCUGGCUGCAUAGUCAAAAUAAAUAAACAAACACUUAAAUAAACACUCUUUCUUCCAUAAUGCCAAUGCACACAAUGAAUUUGCGAAUUAUUAUAACUAAAUGUCUUUACUAAAACAAACAAAUAAAUAAAAACAGACUGUUUAAGGCUUCACAGUGUAAUCUACACGCUAUAUAUAAAACCUACAUCUACAAAUAAACAAGUCUGCUGUGAAGUUAACGCAUAUUAAUGAUCUGGGGGGAGAAGACUUUUAACACGUUGUACUGAACUGUUUGUGGAAAUGCGUGUUUACAGCUGAACACGCAGGUAGAUCUGUGUCCGAUCUAACAUCGCACAACGCAGCACAUGCCGAGAUUUGGGGUUUUAUUGUUUUGUUUUUUUUACUGAAGACCCUAGAUCUUUUGCUUCUUAGUGACACACUCAUAUGCUAUGUUCGUUAUUUUAUUUGUAUAUGUAUUUAUUAUUGUUUAUUUUAUUUAUUUAUUUAUUUAUUUUACAAAGAGUUUAAUUCUUCCAGUCUACAGGUUAAGGAAGAAUGCCGGUUUAAACCCGUUUAAAUUCACAGAUGCACUGCGGGCCCAAAUCAGAAGGAGAUCAGUGAGAUUGAGAAGAUAAUCAAAGCGGGAUUACUUUAAAACAUGAUGAUAAAACACAGCUGCGAGGACACAACGCAUUCACAUCACAUCAAGUCUUUUUUCUUCUUCUUAGUUUUUUUUUUUAAAUGAACACAACACAAGGAUUCUUACCUGGUCUGGAUCACACUAUUCCCGAGUUCUCCCAGGCACAAUUGUGGAUUUUAAAUGAACAAAGAAGUCAAAGCGUCGUCACUGACUUCCUGGGUAUCAGAUAACACCUGCACUGAUUCCCCACUCAUAUUCUCUCUGUCCCCUUCCCUCAGCGCUCAUUCUCUCCUCCACUCUGUUAGUGUAAGCUGAAGUGUGCAGUGUAUUCUGUCUGUCCAUGUAUAAACACACUACAGUGAACAGUGUACCAGUAUCUAGAGUAAACUCAGUGCUGCUCAACACGUCACCGUACUGCGCGUCUGUCCCGACAUCCUCCGCGGUAAUACCUCCACAUUCUUUCAGGUGGCGACGUCACACUCUCUCAGUGCUCCUUCAGGCCGAGUGAUGGUCACCACACACCGAGCACUUCACC
Long non-coding RNA from Ictalurus punctatus (channel catfish), 1520 nucleotides. Lineage: Eukaryota; Metazoa; Chordata; Actinopteri; Siluriformes; Ictaluridae. The record is from Ensembl.